UAUAUAUUUUUUAUGUACAUUAGUGGAAUACCAAUAGGGUAAGUGGGUUUUAAAAGAAUUUUUUAAUAAUAAAAACUUAAUUUCUGGCGCCAUAUCAGGCCAGCACCUAAUAAGGGUUCACUUCCGGUAUGGGGAAACAAAAGGGGGCAGCUGUUGUUUGGCGUGCAUGCUGGCGCUGUUGUGGGACCGGCUCGGUUGGUGUGUCGUCGCUGUGGCGGGAGCUGAGUCUGGAGGUAGAUCAUAGAUGCAGCAGUAAGCCGUGUUAGGAAUCCAACACGGGUUUUCCUUCUGCUCGGUUGUUUGGUGGUGCAGUGGUCCAGUGGUGGAGGGCCAUCUAAUUAAAUAGAGCUUUAGGCUUCACUGCCAAAGUAUACACAGACUGAGUAUUGUCCAGCCUUCCUUCUCCACUUGUGUUGGAGUGUAGCAUUCUACAAUUUAGUGGAACUGGGCCUUGUUGCCUGUGAGCCACUGUUUUCCUCCUACCACGUUUUUAUUUAAUGAACACUGUGCAAUAUCUCUGAGCCAUCUUGUUUAGUUGAUUGUGUACUGACCAUUCAGCAGUUCUUUGUGAGCUCAGUAUUUUUACUUGUGUUUACUGUGUUUUAGAUAGACACGGUUUCUAAUAUCCCCUACUGGGCCUUAGGUAUGUAACUAAUAGUGGUAUUGGAUACUGACUCAUGGUGUUUUGUUAAUUUGGUGUACACCUGUAGCAUCCUUUAUUUGAUGUCAAAACUAGUUUUGUUUGUAGAGUGAUUUAUUUUGUUUGUGGUUGUUUUGGUUGCUAGUGUGCGUCAUAACACAGAUUUAUUUAUUUAUUUAUUUAUUAUUUUUUUCAUUUGAGGUGAAUGAUUUGUUUUCAAUAACUGAAGUGUUGCAGGUGUUACACUCUUUUGUUUAUUUUCUUUUUGUUGUCAGGGUCAGUAAUAACAUUAUUCCCUCCAUUUUUGGAGUUUUUGGUUGAUGUAACCAUAAUUGCUGCUAUUGUUUAACUGAAAGUGCCAGAAUUUCUCUUUUUAUGAAGCCUUUGUCUGUAUUAUUAUAAUUGCUGUUAUUAGCUAACUGAAAGGGCCUUAAAGUAUUUUAUGCUUGUGUCCUGCUGAUUUUAUACAAUAAAUGAUAUAUUUUUGUUAAUCAGC
Molecule: long non-coding RNA, 1136 nt
Organism: Astyanax mexicanus (Mexican tetra)
Lineage: Eukaryota; Metazoa; Chordata; Actinopteri; Characiformes; Acestrorhamphidae
Exons: 4
Source: RefSeq, a predicted model, not a curated record